GCCUCUGCAAGUCAAGGGGUAGGCUGCUCGAUCGCAUCUCCAAGAGUCCCUCGCCGCCACAACGCCUGCAGUCGCGGACGGCCGUACCUGUCGACGGGAGCGGCUGAGCAGGGGACAUCCCGCCGAUCCGAUGGCGGAAGGGCGAGAUAAUGGGCAAGUCUACCUCGGGUUGAAUCUGGACACCAGCGAGCUCCUUGCAGUAAACCAGUUGGGCGCUCCUUCGAAACAAGAUUAUCGUGUCCAGGUAUACAGUCCGCCACAAAACUCUCCCGUGCAGUGGGCGUACAGAAGGUACCUUCCUCUCCUGAUUUUGUAUAUGGCAGUGUAGUACUAUGUGGUUAACUGAAAACGAAGAGUAAGCAAAUUAGUUCCUGUCAGAACAACUGUAGCCGGCAUCGCCGCCGUCGCUUAUGGAGCUCCACACCAUUCCCCAAUUGUACGAGAGCAUGUUCAAUCUUCGCCAUUCUAUACUAUGUGCAAAUGGUCAACUCUUUUCCAAACAAGAAGAUAUGAGGAUUAGGCAUAUAUGCCCCAUAAGGUAGCUAUAUUCAUGUGUUGUAGUGUGGAUUAUGGUCACGCUCUGUCUUGGACUGCAGAUAGCUAGGUUAACAAAAAUGGAUACUCUGCAUAUUUUCUGAAUUUUUAGUAAGGUCUACAUGAAUAAGGUUAGCAGUAGUUCUGACUUGGGGCACUGGUUAAUUCUUCACAUGCAGGAACGUGGAGAGAUGGUGGGCUCCAAGCCCAUGGUGAUUUUAUUGUGCUUGCAGCUUGAGAUGUACUUGGUCCAAAUGAAAAUCAUCAUUUUGAAGGGCAACUUCGCAUGGAAUUAGGAUCACUUAAUAAGGUUCUGGUUUCUUUUUCAAAUUCACUUGCUUUAUGCAUGAACCUAUUAUAGAUUUGUUGGUGUUGAUUUGCAGUAAGAGCAAAUGUAAUAUUGUUCUCAUCAAUUUC
Molecule: long non-coding RNA, 951 nt
Organism: Triticum aestivum (bread wheat)
Lineage: Eukaryota; Viridiplantae; Streptophyta; Magnoliopsida; Poales; Poaceae
Exons: 3
Source: RefSeq, a predicted model, not a curated record